UGGAAUGGGGGCAUGCAAAAUGGGGAAGGCGUGGGGCGGCUAAGUGUCUGUGUUAUUUGUCGACGUUAGGGGCGACAAAAAGCGACACCACUCAUAAAUCUCGGUCCAUCCGGACAUCGUGGUGGUGGUGGUAGCUUCUUCGUCUUCCUUGUCGUCCUUCUCACUUGGUCCCUCCUUAGCCGCUUCUUCAUUUUCUUUUGUCCAGUUCUUAU
Molecule: non-coding RNA, 212 nt
Organism: Caenorhabditis elegans
Lineage: Eukaryota; Metazoa; Nematoda; Chromadorea; Rhabditida; Rhabditidae
Source: Ensembl